AGUGAACGCUGGCGGUAGGCCUAACACAUGCAAGUCGAACGGCAGCACAGUAAGAGCUUGCUCUUACGGGUGGCGAGUGGCGGACGGGUGAGGAAUACAUCGGAAUCUACUUUUUCGUGGGGGAUAACGUAGGGAAACUUACGCUAAUACCGCAUACGACCUACGGGUGAAAGCAGGGGAUCUUCGGACCUUGCGCGAUUGAAUGAGCCGAUGUCGGAUUAGCUAGUUGGCGGGGUAAAGGCCCACCAAGGCGACGAUCCGUAGCUGGUCUGAGAGGAUGAGCAGCCACACUGGAAAAGAGGCACGGUACAGACUCCUACGGGAGGCAGCAGUGGGGAAUAUUGGACGAUGGGCGCAAGCUUGAUCGAGCCUUACCGCGUGAAUGAAGAAGGCCUUCGGGUUGUAAAGCCCUUUUGUUGGGAAAGAAAAGCAGCAGGUGAAUCCCCCACUGUACUGACGGUACCCAAAGAAGAAGCAACGGCUAACUUCGUG
This 492-nucleotide ribosomal RNA is filed under the name uncultured bacterium. RNAcentral's name for it is "partial 16S ribosomal RNA". It matches the Rfam family "Bacterial small subunit ribosomal RNA", at positions 29 to 507 of the family's 1533-position model. The record is from RNAcentral.